This is a non-coding RNA of Salmo salar (Atlantic salmon), 74 nucleotides long. Lineage: Eukaryota; Metazoa; Chordata; Actinopteri; Salmoniformes; Salmonidae. The record is from Rfam.
GGCUGGUUAGCGCAGUUGGUUAGAGCGUGGUGCUAAUAACGCCAAGGUCGUGGGUUCGAUCCCCAUAAUGGCCA